Molecule: ribosomal RNA, 189 nt
Filed under: uncultured eukaryote
Lineage: Eukaryota
Description: partial 18S ribosomal RNA
Rfam family: Eukaryotic small subunit ribosomal RNA
Source: RNAcentral
CCGCACGCGCGCGCUACUGAUGCAUGCAACGAGUUUAGAACCUUGGCUGAGAGGCCUGGGUAAUCUGUGAACGUGCAUCGUGAUAGGGAUUGAUGAUUGCAACUAUUCAUCAUGAACGAGGAAUUCCUAGUAAACGUGAGUCAUCAGCUCACAUUGAUUACGUCCCUGCCCUUUGUACACACCGCCCGU